This 240-nucleotide ribosomal RNA is filed under the name Nostoc sp. Ind37. RNAcentral describes it as "partial 16S ribosomal RNA". It matches the Rfam family "Bacterial small subunit ribosomal RNA", at positions 109 to 367 of the family's 1533-position model. Lineage: Bacteria; Bacillati; Cyanobacteriota; Cyanophyceae; Nostocales; Nostocaceae. The record is from RNAcentral.
AGUAACGCGUGAGAAUCUAGCUUCAGGUCGGGGACAACCCCUGGAAACGGUGGCUAAUACCGGAUGUGCCGAAAGGUGAAAGAUUUAUUGCCUGAAGAUGAGCUCGCGUCUGAUUACCUAGUUGGUGUGGUAAGAGCGCACCAAGGCGACGAUCAGUAGCUGGUCUGAGAGGAUGAUCAGCCACACUGGGACUGAGACACGGCCCACACUCCUACGGGAGGUAGCAGUGGGGAAUUUUCC